RNAcentral lists this unclassified non-coding RNA (819 nucleotides) under Hevea brasiliensis (rubber tree). The record is from RNAcentral. Lineage: Eukaryota; Viridiplantae; Streptophyta; Magnoliopsida; Malpighiales; Euphorbiaceae.
GAAAGUAGGAAUUGAGCUGAUGAUUUCUUGAGUGCCUUGAGCCUUGAGGGGCUAUACUGUAUUUCUGUAUCAAAUCAGCUGUUAUCUAGGAGUAAAUGCUUCAUGCUAAACUAGAGAUCCAUUUUAUGUCACUGCCCUUAAUAAUCAGUUGCACAUUCUUUUGUAUUACUCUUGAUGUUGAGGAUUCAUGGACUGUUAUGAUUGUGGCACAGAAGUAGGAAGUUUUGUGCUAACAAAGAACUUUUGAGAUAAUGUCCAAACAAAAUCCUAAUCGGUUUUUAACAAUUCUAUCCCAAACUUACUUUUUUUAACAAAAAUACCUUAAACAUUGAACAUUUUAACAAUUGUAUCCUGCUGUUUAUUCCACUGUUAAAUCUAACAAAUUUUGCCAUGUCAGCAUAGAAAAUGUCCAAAAAAAAUCUUAAACUUUGUUUUUUUAGCAAUUGUACCCUAAAUUUUUUUUUUUGUAACAAGUAUACCCUGAACUUUGAAUUUUACCACAAUUGAACCCCAUUGUUAGUUGCUUCUUUCAAUACUAAGAGGUGUCAGUCAACACUUAUAAUUAGGAGUGUGCGGUUCUAAUACGGUUUGGGGUUUACCUAGGAACCAGAACUGAACUAAAAUUUCGGUAUGGUUUCAGUUCGGUUCUUCAUUGUUUUGGUUCUGUUUCGGUAUAAUUCUCAGUUCUUCAAUUCUAAUUCAGUUCGGUAUGAUUCUGGUUCGGUUCUCGAUUCUUGAAAUAAUUUUAUAUAAUUAUUUUCAUAAAAAAUCUUACUUGAAUUAGUAUUUAAACUUUGAAAUAUGUCAUUAAUACACAAU